GGAGGCUGUUGCAAUAACCCAGACAGGAGAUGAUGAGGGCUUGACCUUGGGCUGUGGUAGCGGGACAGGGAGAGGGACGGGUUGAGAAACAUUUAGGAGGUCAAGUUGUUGGGACCCAGAGACUGAUGGGAUGUGUGUGGGAUGAGAGGGAGGAGUCAAGGUGGCCUUGUCCUGGGGCUGAGCAGUGGUGCAACCCAGCCCUGAGGAAUUCCGGGAGUGGAGCCGACUUGGAAACUCAAGGCCAAUCUCAGGUUGAGACAUGGUCCACCAGAUGACCGGCUGGCCUCCUAAUUGGGCUUCCUGCAUUCCUGCCUGUGCUCGGAGCUCCCUUCUCCACUUGCCUGCUGGAGGAGGUUUACAAACAAAAUCAGAUCAUGGCACUCCCCUGGGGCCCUGCAUCCUGUGGCCAGCAGGUCUUGGAAACGCCCCUGUACCCCAGAAACUUCCUGAUCAGUCCCUGGUCAGUGUAUAUCAUGCUUCCUGUGACAUGACAUCAACUUUUCAGUGACUUCCACUGGUUUUGGCCCAGCUCGAAGAGCCUGACACCUCUGCAGGGAAUUCUACCAGGGAGCUCAGGAGGGGGAAUUGCACUGAAGAUUUGUCCCAUCGUGAAGCAAGAGCACUGGAACUUACACUCCACCAUCAGGCCCUGUCACAGGAGAACAAAGAAGGAAGGCAGAGGAGAUCAUGCUCCGGCCAGCAGGGAAUCUCCAUUUUUUUCAGCCUCAUACCUUGGAAAGUACAAAGGAGUGAGAGCUGGGACUACCAGCCAGAGGGUUCAUGGAGGUAGUGGGAGGGGAAGAUGGGUUCUGCAUGGAGCCACUCCAGGGACUUUUCUUCUGUCUCACAGCCUGACAAUCACCUCUAGCUGUUCUCAGUCCCAUUCUCAUCAAUGACCUCGUCUCCUGAUUUUGUACAAUAUCUAGGUGACCUUCUCUUCUUUCCAUCUUCAAACGCUUGAUCAUUGAUGCUCCCUUUUCUCUUCUCUCUCCUCCUGGGAAAAGAGAAGGACCAACAUCCCCCUUUCCCUUCCUCCUGUGCUGUCCCGACCCCUCUGAGACCUGGCUCUAGCAGUAAGUCCCUCUCUCUUCUGCAGCACCAGCCUCUGCCCAUCCCUGCCCUCUGCACACAAAGCUCUCACAUUGUCUGCACUUUAAGAACUUUUGUGGCAAACCCUGGCAAAUCCUGCCACUUGUUUCCACUCUUCUCAAAUGGCUUUGAGGUCAUCAUUGACCUAUCCCAUUUGACCCUGUCCUGUAUCUGAUGUUGUACCCUUUCUCCUUGAUCCCACUCUGGCAACUCUCCCACUCCCCUUUCUUGGAUCAACUGUCUUGCUCCUCAGUCUUGAUCAAUGCCUCCUUCUCUCUCUUUAGCCUUGGCCCUUUUUGGCCAGGGAAAUAAAUGUGAAAUACAUAAAGCUUCAUUUUAUCUUAUGAUUAUAGCUAUGUUGAUGUUACCCAAGACCUAAAAGUCACACUCUCUAAUUACACUUCCCUCCUGUGUUCUGGGUCCUCUUGGACCAGUCCUUACUCUGGCUCCCCUCCUGGAUGUCUCCCAGACUUCUAAUUAGAAUUACUGUUUCCUAUAUCAAGCUAAUUAUCUUUCCCACCAACCUCCUCCAUCCUUGGGUGAAAGCAUCACUUGGUUGCAAAAGUCAGAAAUCUGGGUUUCAUUCUUGCGGUAGGUAGAAUAAUGCCCCCAGGCCCCAGGUUUUGACAUCCGAAUCCCUGGGACUUUGCAGAUGUGAUUCAGUUUAGGAUUUUGAGAUGGGGAGAUUAUCUGGGAGAGCCUGAUGUCAUCAUAAGGUUCUUAUAAGAGGGAGGCAGGAGGGUUAGAGUGAGUAGUAAGAGAUGCAACAGUGGAAGCAAGAGGUUGGGGUGAUGUGGCCACAAGCCCAGGAGUGCUGACAGACAUCAGAAGCUGGAAGGGACAAGGAAUGGUUUCUCCUCUGGAGCCUCCAGAAAGAACCAGCCCUGCUGACACCUUGAUUUUAGCCUUGGAAGACUCAUUUUGGACUUCUGACCUUGAACGUUGUAAGAGAAUAAAUUUACAUAUUUUAAACUGGUA
This 2067-nucleotide long non-coding RNA is filed under the name Homo sapiens (human). RNAcentral's name for it is "non-protein coding ZMIZ1-AS1:15". Lineage: Eukaryota; Metazoa; Chordata; Mammalia; Primates; Hominidae. The record is from RNAcentral.